CAUUUGCCUCCAGCAUACGCUGCUCACAAACCCUGCACCUAUAGGCUCGCAAUAUUCCCACCCGGAAUAUUCAGCUCGACCUGGAGCCGGAGCUCCAGCAGAGGAUGGCUCGAAUCUCUUGACCCAAAUAUACGAGGUCAUCUCUUAUCAUAGACAACAACUUGAUUGUCCUCGGAGCCACAGCUAAGCAGGCCGCCGCCUCUCCAAACGGAUAACCCGACGAAUCUCCUGGCAUUGACGUGUUCCGUGUACGUCCGAAUAAGCCGAUGAUCUGCAGUGUGCCACGUCUUCAAGCACCCAUCAAUUUAAAAAAAAGGGUACAAACUGCCGGUGAAGAGAGCGGAUGGCAGGGGAAGAUGGCGUGGAGAGGGAGAAAGGCAAAAAAAAAAAAGGAAACGUGGAGGCCGCGCCGGACGUGGUGGUCGGCGACGGAGGUGGUGGUGGGUUGGGAUGGGGGAGGAAGAAGAAAAAAAAGGGAAGGGAAUUUUUUUUUUUUUUUUUGUGUUUUGGGUAUUUUGAAGUGUGUAGGUAAAAAAUUUUGAGAAGUUUUUUGGGAUCCUGUAGCAAAAGUUGUUAAAAAACUAGUAGGUAAAAAACUUGCUUAAAAACCUGACUUCCAAACAGGCCCGAGAUAGAGUUUAAAAACAUGCAACAAGAAAUACGGUUUCUUUUAUUUGGUUUUUAAAUAAAUGGAUAUCUAUGAUUUUUGUGGAUAAUUCAUAUAAAUUCAUUUUUGUGGACAAUUUCAAGUUAACUAUUAUAUUUUACAUAUAUGAUAUAUGUCUAACCCCACUUAUAUAUAUUCUGUUAGUGUAUAUAAAAUUUAUAUAUCUCUUUUCUUAUAAUUGGUAUUAUUUUUUAGUACUAUUAAACUGAACUGGCUCAAUGAUUUGCAGCGGUCAUAGAAGGAGGAGCCAUAGCAAAGGUGCCAGCCUCAAGAAAACCUACCAGCAGAAGCUGAUGCAUUAAUAAUAGAGGCAGAGGCAAAUGGAGUUGAGGGUGACCAAUUGCCCUCCCGACUUUGAGAAAUUUUUGUUUUAGGCAUAGAACUUUUGAAAAUUUUUUAAGUUGUCCUUUUUUGCACCCUUG
Molecule: long non-coding RNA, 1089 nt
Filed under: Coffea arabica (coffee)
Lineage: Eukaryota; Viridiplantae; Streptophyta; Magnoliopsida; Gentianales; Rubiaceae
Description: long non-coding RNA (CARA_LNC006038)
Source: RNAcentral